GGGUGUGUAGUUCAAAGGUAGAAUGUUAGUCCUGCAAACUAAUGACUCCGGUUCGAUUCCGGACAUACCCA
RNAcentral lists this transfer RNA (71 nucleotides) under Yasminevirus sp. GU-2018. It matches the Rfam family "tRNA". From Rfam's summary of the family: Transfer RNA (tRNA) molecules are approximately 80 nucleotides in length. The record is from Rfam by way of RNAcentral. Lineage: Varidnaviria; Bamfordvirae; Nucleocytoviricota; Megaviricetes; Imitervirales; Mimiviridae.